This 680-nucleotide ribosomal RNA is filed under the name Serratia sp. SH1. RNAcentral's name for it is "bacterial SSU rRNA". It matches the Rfam family "Bacterial small subunit ribosomal RNA", at positions 80 to 756 of the family's 1533-position model. Lineage: Bacteria; Pseudomonadati; Pseudomonadota; Gammaproteobacteria; Enterobacterales; Yersiniaceae. The record is from RNAcentral.
CUCCCCGGGUGACGAGCGGCGGACGGGUGAGUAAUGUCUGGGAAACUGCCUGAUGGAGGGGGAUAACUACUGGAAACGGUAGCUAAUACCGCAUAACGUCGCAAGACCAAAGAGGGGGACCUUCGGGCCUCUUGCCAUCAGAUGUGCCCAGAUGGGAUUAGCUAGUAGGUGGGGUAAUGGCUCACCUAGGCGACGAUCCCUAGCUGGUCUGAGAGGAUGACCAGCCACACUGGAACUGAGACACGGUCCAGACUCCUACGGGAGGCAGCAGUGGGGAAUAUUGCACAAUGGGCGCAAGCCUGAUGCAGCCAUGCCGCGUGUGUGAAGAAGGCCUUCGGGUUGUAAAGCACUUUCAGCGAGGAGGAAGGUGGUGAGCUUAAUACGCUCAUCAAUUGACGUUACUCGCAGAAGAAGCACCGGCUAACUCCGUGCCAGCAGCCGCGGUAAUACGGAGGGUGCAAGCGUUAAUCGGAAUUACUGGGCGUAAAGCGCACGCAGGCGGUUUGUUAAGUCAGAUGUGAAAUCCCCGGGCUCAACCUGGGAACUGCAUUUGAAACUGGCAAGCUAGAGUCUCGUAGAGGGGGGUAGAAUUCCAGGUGUAGCGGUGAAAUGCGUAGAGAUCUGGAGGAAUACCGGUGGCGAAGGCGGCCCCCUGGACGAAGACUGACGCUCAGGUGCGA